GACGAACGCUGGCGGCGUGCUUAACACAUGCAAGUCGAACGGAAAGGCCCUGCUUUUGUGGGGUGCUCGAGUGGCGAACGGGUGAGUAACACGUGAGUAACCUGCCCUUGACUUUGGGAUAACUUCAGGAAACUGGGGCUAAUACCGGAUAGGAGCUCCUGCUGCAUGGUGGGGGUUGGAACGUUUCGGCGGUUGGGGAUGGACUCGCGGCUUAUCAGCUUGUUGGUGGGGUAGUGGCUUACCAAGGCUUUGACGGGUAGCCGGCCUGAGAGGGUGACCGGCGACAAGGGGACUGAGGGACGGACCAGAGGGGUACGGGAGACAGUAGUGGCAAAUAUUGCACAAUGAGCGGAAGCCUGAUGAAGCGACGCCGGGGUCGGGAUGACGGCUUGCGGGUAGUGAACCGCUGUCGCCUGUGACGAAGCGUGAGUGACGGUAAUGGGAGAAGAAGCACCGGCUAACUACGUG
This 468-nucleotide ribosomal RNA is filed under the name uncultured bacterium. Its description in RNAcentral is "partial 16S ribosomal RNA". It matches the Rfam family "Bacterial small subunit ribosomal RNA", at positions 28 to 507 of the family's 1533-position model. The record is from RNAcentral.